CCCACUCCGCCCCGCGAACCCGCGUUGCGCGUAGUGCGCCAACGCCUUCGGCGAAGUCGGCCCGCGGGGCUCGUCCAGUCGGUUCGCCUCAGGCCUGAACCGAGGCCCGCCAUGGAAGGGGACGUCUCCGCCGCCGCAGCCGCCCGCUACCAGCCGGCCAGCCCCCCGCGGGACGCCUGUGUCUACAACAGCUGCUACUGUGAAGAAAAUAUUUGGAAGCUCUGUGAAUACAUCAAAAACCACGACCAGUAUCCUUUAGAAGAAUGUUAUGCUGUCUUCAUAUCUAAUGAGAGGAAGAUGAUACCUAUCUGGAAACAACAGGCAAGACCUGGAGAUGGACCUGUGAUCUGGGAUUACCACGUUGUCUUGCUUCAUGUUUCAAGUGGAGGACAGAGCUUCAUUUAUGAUCUUGACACUGUCCUGCCAUUUCCCUGCCCCUUUGAUACUUAUGUGGAAGAUGCCUUUAAGUCUGAUGAGGACAUCCAUCCACAGUUCAGAAGGAAAUUUAGAGUGAUCCGCGCAGAUUCAUAUUUGAAGAACUUUGCUUCUGACCGAUCUCACAUGAAAGACUCCAGUGGGAACUGGAGAGAACCUCCUCCGUCAUAUCCCUGCAUUGAGACUGGAGAUUCCAAAAUGAACCUGAAUGAUUUUAUCAGUAUGGAUCCUGAGGUAGGAUGGGGAGCCGUCUACUCACUGUCUGAAUUUGUACAUCGGUUUGGCAGUCAGAACUACUGAACUUGACCUCUGGAUGUAGUGCCAUGGAGAAAUUCUAGGACGUGAACAAUCCACCCCUUCAUCUGAGACAGCAAACAUUAUGAUGAUGAGUCUUCUGCUUACUCAGAAACUUCCACUCAAAUCCUCUGCCUUGUGCUCUGGAGGGACACCUGCAGUCAUUUCCUCAGGAGUCAGUCAGUCAGUCAGUCUAAGGAAAGACCAUAUAUCCAUUUGGCUCGGCUGACCUGGAAGAUGCUGGGAGAAAGUGAAUCAACUUUGGACUGCUGGGCUAGGGCCCCUGGGAGUUUGGGGCUGCUGGUGGGUAUCUUGACUGCCACAGAAGAAAGGCCUGCCUGCAUAAUGAACCCGAGCAGAGCGGGAGCCCCAAGGACAUUUCUGAGUGCCUGGAUCUUUCUUUGCUUCAAACCAACCCCAAUUUUCGAACUUGCCAGUUAUACAAACCAGUGGGUUCCUUUUUCUCUUCAGUUUGUGUGAGUUGGAUCGCUGUCAUUUAUAACUGAAAGAAUGACCUUGGAAGCCACCCACUGAAGAUGGCAGAGCCACCAUCAACCUGGGUUCCUGAAUGACCAUAUGGAGCCGAGCUGCAGGCCUGCCUGAAAAGUAUAUUGUAGAACUGUUCCAUAAGAUACACACUUGUGUAUUUUUUUAAGUCACAGAGUCAUUGGUGAGUCUUGAUUCUGCAGUUUAGCCCUCCCUAGUUAAUACAGUGCCCAUUCAGGACUUGUCACAGGGUAUUUCUACUGGGUUGGAAAUGAGACUUUGUGAUGUUCCAUGUGGAAUUAGAUCCUCGGUGUUUUCGUGCAAGCUGCCCCUUAAGUGUCCUGGAGUGUUUGUGGGAUUAUUGCCCUUUGCAGAAUGUUCAGGAACACUGAACGCAGAUAUCCAUCCGUACCUCUUAUUUUGCAUGAGGUUCAAGAGCCUUGUGGGAAAGAAGCCAAAUGAAUCCUGUCCUCAUUUACAGUUCAGACAUGUGUGGGCCUCUCUGAUGGACGAGGGGUCCUCAGAGCUAUCCUAGCUAGAGGAGAGGAAAACAGAUGCCUGAGGGAAAAUCACUCUUGAGUGAGGAAGACACCUGGCUGAGUGGACCAGACCUGGCAACGAGGCCUGGUGGUUAGAGGGACCACCGGUGGCAGGUGCAGUGUGAGGUGUGCUUCCUCAUUGCUCACCCUUCAUGCGGUACACCCCUUUCCUUGCUCUCUCACCCUCUUGAAAGCCCUGUCCUCUGGGAAUGAAGGGAAAGAACUGUGUCACUAGAGGCCCAACACGACUCUGUGGGAACCUUGCAAGUAGCUGGUCUUGGGCAUCAAAGAACAGUGGAGGCCAGUGGCCUGAGAGGUUGGAAUUCUGGUGGUUGAGUGGUUGGCACAGAGCAACGGAGCAGAAGCAUUGAUAAAGCCUGAAGGCUGUGGCUCUGAUCUUCUGUGAAGCCCCAUUUCAUCAGGACUUUUUUUUGGUUGCUGUUCAAUUCAAAUAAACACUUACUGAGCCUAUGUUAAAUGGGGGCAUGGUUAAGAGAGGCCCCUCUUCUGUCUGUGUACAAUUCCUACCACUCUGUUUAUCCUCAUAUGUCUCACUAUUCUUUUACAGUUAUUCAAACUCCUAUAAUGGAAUGGUAACCUUGUUCAGAAGCUCAGAAUCUUCUUAGAAAGUUGUUAGUAGAGUGAUGGUCACAGCUAGUGGAGAAGCUGCUUCAUUUUCUGAAAAAAAACAAAACACUGAGGUGGACUCGUUGCUUCCCAUGAAGAUGCUGGGCUCAUCU
This is a non-coding RNA of Kogia breviceps (pygmy sperm whale), 2494 nucleotides long. Lineage: Eukaryota; Metazoa; Chordata; Mammalia; Artiodactyla; Physeteridae. The record is from RefSeq and is a predicted model, not a curated record.